AUGAUGAAGGGGUGCUACCUGGGCCACUACCCAGACCACUCACCUAAGCCUAACAUCAAAAGCCGGAAGCCCCGGCCGAGCCACAUACCGGGUCUGGGGCACAAACCGGUCCGACGCACUCGUGUGUCGUCGCCGCCAUCUUUCACAGGUCCGUCUUCAGAGCAAAUAUUGAGGCUUCUACCUUGUCUGGCCACUCAGCCAUCGACGUCACCACGACACCAGACAGCUUCGUCCUCCUGCGCGAGUCCAUCGUCACACAUCGAACGCCGAAUCUCCACUGCGCCACGCCGCCGAGAUACGCCGCCAUCAAUGAGUAGGAUGAAGCACCGCUCCGCCGAGUCCGGCAAGGCUGCUGAAGACCAAGCACCGUGGAAGAAGGACUCUGAGGCUGAGCACAUAGGCGGCAGAGCGCCAACGCACCGCCACCAGACGAACUCCGACCACGCCACCAACCGCCGCCAAGCAACCAAAGCAUCACAUCCAUCCCAAGCUCACCACGAACGACACCCCCAAGAGGGUGACGACGCCCGGAGCGCCGCUGUCGCUCGAUCCGGCAAGGAUUUGGGCUUUCGCCCGUCAUACGAGCUGGGUGGAAGGAAGAGGGGAAGGAGACCACCUGGACGGCGCCUACAAGAAGGGUACGGCGCCCUCGGGCGUCGCCGCCGUCGUGGCCAGCACUGCUGGCCUCGGAUUUCUCCGGAGCCACCUCCCACCUCCAGCCGCCAAACAGGUACAACUCCGGCGACAAAGGCCGCCCAAAGCAGGACCAUCGGAGGCAGCCCUGGUUGA
Molecule: ribosomal RNA, 789 nt
Filed under: Triticum aestivum (bread wheat)
Lineage: Eukaryota; Viridiplantae; Streptophyta; Magnoliopsida; Poales; Poaceae
Description: partial small subunit ribosomal RNA
Source: RNAcentral